RNAcentral lists this long non-coding RNA (1301 nucleotides) under Homo sapiens (human). Its description in RNAcentral is "non-protein coding lnc-TFEC-2:9". Lineage: Eukaryota; Metazoa; Chordata; Mammalia; Primates; Hominidae. The record is from RNAcentral.
AGUGGGCGGCGACGCCGGCAGCUGGGACGAGGAGGGCCUCCUGGUCACCCUUCUGGGGGCCCGUACUGUCAUGCCUCAGAGCUGGCAAGUCGUCCCAGGGAAGACAACGGCCUUCCUGGAGGGAGGGAACCUUGUGGUUAGGCGCAUGGGGUGCGAAGCAGGUAUGUGCUCACCUCCGGCUGUGUUUGCCUUGCGUGCUGCGGCUCAUGGUGCUGGUAUUGAGCCUCUGGGAACCUCAGCUGCCUCGUUGGCAAAAUGGGGGCUGUGGCAUCUGUUUCAGGGGUGUCCGUGAGAAUUAAAUGUUAAUUUCACAUAAAAUUCUAACACACAUGGCCCAUGGCCCGUAACACACAGUGAUAAACUUCCAAUCAACGUUGUUGCUGCUGUCGUGAGAGGUAAGGAGCCACAAUGUACCUGAGUGCUAGGUACCUGAGUGCUAGGUGACCUGCAAGUGCAUGUGGAGUUGGGUAGGCGAACGCCCUGGCCCUAGAGUUUGUGCCUUCAGAUCUGAGGUGUGAGGGGAGAUCUGAUUUUUUUUUUUUUUUUUUUUUUACUUCCUAAACUACACCGUGUGUGUGUGUGUGUGUGUGUUUGUGUGUGUGUGGCAGAGUUUCGCUCUUGUUGCCCAGGCUGGAGUGCAAUGGCACGAUCUCGGCUCAUCGCAACCUCUGCCUCCCGGGUUCAAGCGAUUCUCCUGCCUCAGCCUCCCGAGUAGCUGGGAUUACAGGCAUGCACCACCACGCCUGGCUAAUUUUGUAUUUUUAGCAGAGACGGGGUUUCCCCAUGUUGGUCAGGCUGGUUUCGAACUCCCAACCUCAGGUGAUCCGCCCGCCUCGGCCUCCCAAAGUGCUGGGAUUGCAGGCGUGAGCCACCGCGCCCGACCUCCACCUUUUAAUUUUCUUGUGAACCAGACUGUCUUGAAAGAUUCAGGAACUUCUAAGAUGCAGUCACAUCUGUGAUUAUCUUGCAGGCAGCACGGAAACAGAACCCUAACACAAAGCCACAUUGCAAUGGAUGAAUUAGCCUGCUGACCACUCACGCAAAGGUUUUCAGAAGGGAGGAGUUUGCAUGUUCAUAAAGGGCUUUAGGGUCUGGUAGACAUAUACGUGUGUUUGGGGAGGAAGGGCACUUAGUGAAAAUUUGCCAAAAGCAAAACAAUGAGAACUAGGCUUGAGGUGCAGGUUGCUCAGAGCUCAAAGUAGGCAUGUAGUAGGUAUUGCUGGAUACAGUGUAUUUGGAGCUUGUUGAACAUAUCAAAUCCCCUUAUGUGAACUGGAUUUGAAGAAUUGCUUCUUCCGAAA